RNAcentral lists this long non-coding RNA (242 nucleotides) under Homo sapiens (human). RNAcentral describes it as "HSALNT0407595". Lineage: Eukaryota; Metazoa; Chordata; Mammalia; Primates; Hominidae. The record is from RNAcentral.
UUCAUCCCGUCUGGAGCAGAUCCUGUUUUGGUCCGCAGGGUUGUGACCAGAAAACAAGUCCUGUUGGUCUCCCACCUCAAUCUGACGGAUAUUAUUUUGACACAGUGUUACAUUUCUGGUUCCAGCUAAGAAAGGUGAUGAAAAGUUGCUUUUUAGACAAAAUAAGCCCUUACCCUCAAAGGAAAGUUGCUCCUGAAAUACAAGCAGAAAUCAGUGAUGGAGUCUCACUCUAUCACCCAGCC